This 298-nucleotide ribosomal RNA is filed under the name uncultured bacterium. Its description in RNAcentral is "partial 16S ribosomal RNA". It matches the Rfam family "Bacterial small subunit ribosomal RNA", at positions 333 to 645 of the family's 1533-position model. The record is from RNAcentral.
GCAUACCUACGGGACGCAGCAGUGGGGAAUAUUGGGCAAUGGGCGCAAGCCUGACCCAGCAACGCCGCGUGAAGGAAGAAGGCUUUCGGGUUGUAAACUUCUUUUCUCAGGGACGAAGCAAGUGACGGUACCUGAGGAAUAAGCCACGGCUAACUACGUGCCAGCAGCCGCGGUAAUACGUAGGUGGCAAGCGUUAUCCGGAUUUACUGGGUGUAAAGGGCGUGUAGGCGGGAAAGCAAGUCAGAUGUGAAAACCACGGGCCCAACCUGUGGCCUGCAUUUGAAACUGUUUUUCUUGA